UUCUUCAGUUGUGUGGCCUCUCUUUGGACACCAUUCAGUACACCGUGUGUUAACAAAGUGCCCUUUUGAUUGCCUCUGGUGUCCGAUGAUGUCCUUUGUGGAUUUGAUUUACAAUUGGGUUCUACAUGAUGGUAGGUUAUUAUUCUUUAGUCAAAAAUUAAAGAAGUACCUUUUUUAGGUUGGAUAAGGCUUGAUGCGAUGAAUAAGCUUCAAAACUUGUGACAAUAGAUUUUAAUGCAGAGUGAUAAUUCACAGUAUCUCUCCCCAUAUUCUGAUUCAUUAUUUGCGAUCUGAGUCUUAGUAUGUCAUCUCAGUUCAUUUCCCAGGCCCCUUAAGUUACUGCUUGACUGUUUAUAUCUCGCAAAUGGAGCAGUACAGUUUGCUGCAAGACAGGAUUAGUUUUAACGUCUCAGACUAUCGGGAGAUAUCAUAGAGCAACACAUUACGUGUGGAUAAAGACGUGGAGAUGUGCAUGUUUUUUUCUUACCAAUUUGGGC
Molecule: long non-coding RNA, 497 nt
Filed under: Elaeis guineensis (African oil palm)
Lineage: Eukaryota; Viridiplantae; Streptophyta; Magnoliopsida; Arecales; Arecaceae
Description: long non-coding RNA (EGUI_LNC005888)
Source: RNAcentral